AUCCAGUUGAAUAGUCUCAAACAGAAUGAAACGCGCUUCCUAGAU
This 45-nucleotide non-coding RNA is filed under the name Schistosoma mansoni. The record is from RNAcentral. Lineage: Eukaryota; Metazoa; Platyhelminthes; Trematoda; Strigeidida; Schistosomatidae.